This 253-nucleotide ribosomal RNA is filed under the name uncultured bacterium. RNAcentral's name for it is "partial 16S ribosomal RNA". It matches the Rfam family "Bacterial small subunit ribosomal RNA", at positions 524 to 776 of the family's 1533-position model. The record is from RNAcentral.
UACGUAGGGCGCAAGCGUUGUCCGGAAUUAUUGGGCGUAAAGAGCUCGUAGGCGGCCAGUUGCGUCUGCUGUGAAAUCCCGGGGCUCAACCCCGGGCGUGCAGUGGAUACGGGCUGGCUAGAGGCAGGCAGGGGAGAACGGAAUUCCCGGUGUAGCGGUGAAAUGCGCAGAUAUCGGGAGGAACACCGGUGGCGAAGGCGAUUCUCUGGGCCUGUACUGACGCUGAGGAGCGAAAGCGUGGGGAGCGAACAGG